CCUGGAUGUGAGCUGCAUCCUCUUCCCAGAAUCUGGGGCAGGAAUGUGUCCUCGGAAAGACUGUUGAAUGAGAAGGCUGAAGGGUAGCUGGGAGUGGGGGCCAGAGAACACAUGGAAAUGAAGAUCUCAGUGAAAAGUGUCUUUCUUCACAUUUACUUUUUAAGGCUGACCUUGAUUAUCUUCCAGAGAUAUUGGCUAAAACCUUGUGAUGGAGAAAUAUGGAAUUCUUCUUACACUGGUUGCUGUACUCUUACAAACAUCCUCCAAGUUUUAAUUCUAUGUGCUGAGAACUGAGCUUGACUGCGUUUGAUCCCCCUAACACCAUUUAUAACACUGAGCGUUCUUCUUCCGUGGCCACCAAGCUCGAACUGGGAAGGGCCGGUGUCCCUAGGACCCAUGACUGGUAUCCAACAUUCAUACCCCAGGGUAGGCUCAGCGAACAGCCGUGCCUCUAUUGCAUGUUUUACUCUCGGAGUCUCUGUGCAGCGCCUUAACCCUGAUGGAAACUUAAGAAUCCUGCGUUCAAUGAAUAGUGAACUCUGUGGUUGUGACAUCAGCUCUGGGUCCCAGUCUACAUUCCGUGGCAGCCUGGCUCCAACAUCCCAGGGAAUUGUGUCACUCCCAUUGAGCAGCUGUGGGGCCCUCUCCCACAUGGCCCAGGUCCACCACUCUGUCAAAGGUCGCACAGCCCAGACAAAAACAGGACACAGCAGUGUGUGAAUGAGCCGGGCUUUCUCCUUCCCUCCACGUAAUAGAAGGUGCCUGAGGUUGUUGAAACACAGUCCAUUUCUCCUGGGAAUGACAAGAAUUUGAGGGAUGCUGACUUUCAAGGAAUACUGCAUGACAGGCAUCAAGAUAAACCUGAUGAAGAAAACAUAGGCCAGAAUCUGGGAAUCGGGAGCAAAGUAAUACAGCUUCGGGGACAGGCACGUAAUGAGGUCAUGAUGUAGGAGACUCCCUGCAGGACUGGCGGCCCCUGUUCCCUGGGUUGUUCUGGCUCUUUCAGGUGAGAGAGAAGGAUACAGACAGGAAAUGGCACUUCCUAGAAGGGCAACCCUCUGUUCCUGGGGUGUGUGGCAUCUUCCAGCGUUGGGUCUGAGGUUCUAGGUAAGCCUUUACCUCAAAGACAGCCACAUAUUGCUUUCUCAGUGAGGCCUCCCACGAGGCUGAGAACUGCAAUGAUUUUUGCAAAUAUGUCAGUCAUUUGGAUGGUAUUUUAACAGGCUGUUAGUGGAGGGUAGGUAAACCAAUGUCUAAAUGAAAAGGGAAACUCUUGCUGCUAUUUUUAAAGAGAUGUUUCCUGAACAGAUUCUGCCCGGCUUGCCCAGGAGGGCUAGCCUGGAUCCACGCUCCUCAACCUGCUCCUCCUCAGUAAAAAUGUUGAGAGAGGUGUAUUUUUUUUAUGAUUGGCCAUAUGGCUCUAUUAAGUUCAGAAUCAAAGAUAUAUUUUUUGACUUAUCCAUAAGAAGCAUAAGAAAUUUAAAUAGGGGCCAGGCGCGUUGGCUCACGCCUGUAAUCCCAGC
RNAcentral lists this long non-coding RNA (1523 nucleotides) under Homo sapiens (human). Its description in RNAcentral is "HSALNT0157894". Lineage: Eukaryota; Metazoa; Chordata; Mammalia; Primates; Hominidae. The record is from RNAcentral.